CCUACGGGAGGCAGCAGUGGGGGAUAUUGCACAAUGGGGGAAACCCUGAUGCAGCGACGCCGCGUGGGUGAAGAAGCGCCUCGGCGCGUAAAGCCCUGUCAGCAGGGAAGAAAAUGACGGUACCUGAAGAAGAAGCCCCGGCUAACUACGUGCCAGCAGCCGCGGUAAUACGUAGGGGGCAAGCGUUAUCCGGAUUUACUGGGUGUAAAGGGGGCGCAGACGGCGAUGCAAGCCAGGAGUGAAAGCCCGGGGGCCAACCCCGGGACUGCUCUUGGAACUGCGUGGCUGGAGUGCAGGAGGGGCAGGCGGAAUGCCUGGUGUAGCGGUGAAAUGCGUAGAUAUCAGGAGGAACACCGGUGGCGAAGGCGGCCUGCUGGACUGCAACUGACGUUGAGGCCCGAAAGCGUGGGGAGCAAACAGGAUUAGAUACCCGGGUAGUC
RNAcentral lists this ribosomal RNA (440 nucleotides) under uncultured bacterium. RNAcentral describes it as "partial 16S ribosomal RNA". It matches the Rfam family "Bacterial small subunit ribosomal RNA", at positions 338 to 795 of the family's 1533-position model. The record is from RNAcentral.